GAACUAGCUGAUUACAAGAGCCACAUAACGAAGCUUGAAUCAGAGGUUUCAUCUCUGAAACAAUCAAUGGAAGAGUCCACUGCUCAUGUGACUGGGACUGUUGUAUGUGGACAAGCAUCAAAGAGAGGGAGACCAAGGAUAUCAACUGCUUCAGUUGAUGCAUUACCUUCACCUGCUGAAUCUCAACCCCGAACUCGAGGUAGAAAGCCCAAAGCUUAUAUAUUUGAGAAAGUUAUCCUAAACAAGGCA
This 249-nucleotide unclassified non-coding RNA is filed under the name Hevea brasiliensis (rubber tree). Lineage: Eukaryota; Viridiplantae; Streptophyta; Magnoliopsida; Malpighiales; Euphorbiaceae. The record is from RNAcentral.